UACGUAGGGUGCGAGCGUUAAUCGGAAUUACUGGGAGUAAAGCGUGCGCAGGCGGCUUUGCAAGACAGAUGUGAAAUCCCCGGGCUCAACCUGGGAACUGCAUUUGUGACUGCAAGGCUAGAGUACGGCAGAGGGGGAUGGAAUUCCGCGUGUAGCAGUGAAAUGCGUAGAUAUGCGGAGGAACACCAAUGGCGAAGGCAAUCCCCUGGGCCUGUACUGACGCUCAUGCACGAAAGCGUGGGGAGCAAACAGG
RNAcentral lists this ribosomal RNA (253 nucleotides) under uncultured bacterium. Its description in RNAcentral is "partial 16S ribosomal RNA". It matches the Rfam family "Bacterial small subunit ribosomal RNA", at positions 524 to 776 of the family's 1533-position model. The record is from RNAcentral.